This 484-nucleotide ribosomal RNA is filed under the name uncultured bacterium. RNAcentral describes it as "partial 16S ribosomal RNA". It matches the Rfam family "Bacterial small subunit ribosomal RNA", at positions 30 to 507 of the family's 1533-position model. The record is from RNAcentral.
AUUGAACGCUGGCGGCAGGCCUAACACAUGCAAGUCGAGCGGAUGAAGGGAGCUUGCUCCUGGAUUCAGCGGCGGACGGGUGAGUAAUGCCUAGGAAUCUGCCUGGCAGUGGGGGAUAACGUCCGGAAACGGGCGCUAAUACCGCAUACGAACAGAGGGAGAAAGUGGGGGAUCUUCGGACCUCACGCUAUCAGAUGAGCCUAGGUCGGAUUAGCUUGAGGGUGGGGUAAAGGCACCGCCAGGCAAAGAUCCGUAAGUGGUGUGAGCGGAGGAGCAGUCACACUGGAACUGUGACACGGUCCGGACUCCUCCGGUAGGCAGCAGUGCGGAAUAGUGUACUAGGGGCGAAGCCCGAAUCCAGCCCUGCCACGUGGGGUGAGAAGUGCUUGGCAUUUUAGUGCUCAUUAAGUUGUAAGAAGGGAUAGUAAGUGAUACCCGUGCUUUUUUGACGUUACCUUCAGAAUAAGCACCGGCUAACUUCGUG